This 725-nucleotide long non-coding RNA is filed under the name Olea europaea subsp. europaea. Lineage: Eukaryota; Viridiplantae; Streptophyta; Magnoliopsida; Lamiales; Oleaceae. The record is from RNAcentral.
GUAAAUGUAGCCCUCGUUUGGUUUUCUUAAAAAUUCAUCAAUUUAAUUUAAAUUUUUCUCUUCUAUUUUUAAUCACACAAUUUUCAAUAAAAUAGUAUUUCAAAUAAAUCAAAAUUUUUUAAUUCUUUUACAUUUUUCAAAAAAAAAAAAUAUAUAUACUAUUCACCCAUUCUAACUCUAAAUGAUGGGGCCAAAUGGGGAGCCUAUUAGCGACUAUGCAGUAUGUAAAUGCAAGCAUGAAUACCACCUCUUCGUAUUUAUGACUACAUUGAUGGUUCGGAGGGACCGUCAAGAUAUAUAAUGUUAUUGUACAAUUUAUCCAUAAGAAAAUUUCGCAUGUGCAUUAAAUUUUUUUUUUCUAUAUUUUAAAUUUUAAUCAUACAUUCUAAAAAAAUGGGGCUCGGACACGUUCUUGUUUAUUAAAAUUAUUCGAAACUUGAUAAUUAUGUAACGAUGUUUACAUGCUCGUGUGUGGCGGGAAAUAAGGAGAAGGUUGGAGUCUAUGUUAGUAUAAGUCUAUGGCCAUUAUUGGGAGAGUUCAAGAUAGAUUUGUGUAAUAAAUGAAAAAUCAUAUUAUUUCUAUUUAUUUAUAAUUUUAAAAAAGUUCACUCUUUCUCCCAGCACCUUUUUAAUUUGGUUCCAUUUGUCUUCUCCAAUGUAUUAACUCUUAUGUAAUAAGGUCACUACAGUAACAUUUUUUUUUUAUUUUUUUUUUAAUAUUGAUC